RNAcentral lists this long non-coding RNA (269 nucleotides) under Pan troglodytes (chimpanzee). RNAcentral's name for it is "long non-coding RNA NONPTRT006951". Lineage: Eukaryota; Metazoa; Chordata; Mammalia; Primates; Hominidae. The record is from RNAcentral.
CUCUGGAUGGGCUCGCUAGAGUCGUUGUUGUGGAAGCGGUGCAUUUACAGUGCAACAGUCAGCACAUUGAAAAUACCAAUAGGAAUACAAAACAAAGUCACAUUUACUGAUUUAAUUGUAUUGCAUUCAGUUGUAUCCAGGAAACAGCCUCCAACCAUGGACCCGCACAGCGGCCGCUGGCUCGGUGCGCGGCCGCCCGCCGAGAAGCCCAGUCCUCCCGCGUGCUGACCGGCCCCGCCGCCACCACCGCCUGUGACCCCGGACGCCGC